AGAGUUUGAUCAUGGCUCAGAAUGAACGCUGGCGGCGUGCCUAACACAUGCAAGUCGAGCGAGAAAGUCUCCUUCGGGAGAUGAGUAAAGCGGCGCACGGGUGAGUAACGCGUGGGUAACCUACCCAGGAGUGGGGGAUAACCAGCCGAAAGGCUGACUAAUCCCGCAUACGAACAUUAGACUUAAGUUUGAUGAGGAAAGAUGGCCUCUGCUUGCAAGCUAUCGCUCUUGGAUGGGCCCGCGUUGGAUUAGCUUGUUGGUGAGGUAAUGGCUCACCAAGGUAACGAUCCAUAGCUGGUUUGAGAGGACGACCAGCCACACUGGAACUGAGACACGGUCCAGACUCCUACGGGAGGCAGCAGUGAGGAAUAUUGCGCAAUGGGGGAAACCCUGACGCAGCGACGCCGUGUGAGUGAUGAAGGCCUUCGGGUCGUAAAGCUCUGUCAGAGGGAAAGAAAGGUGAGGUGGAAUAAUACCCAUCUCAAUUGACGGUACCCUCAGAGGAAGCACCGGCUAACUCCGUGCCAGCAGCCGCGGUAAUACGGAGGGUGCAAGUGUUAUUCGGAAUCACUGGGCGUAAAGAGCACGUAGGCGGAUUGGCAAGUCAGAUGUGAAAGCCCGGGGCUUAACCUCGGAACUGCAUUUGAUACCGUCUGUCUUGAGUAUGGUAGAGGGGGAUGGAAUUCCCGGUGUAGAGGUGAAAUUCGUAGAUAUCGGGAGGAACACC
Molecule: ribosomal RNA, 727 nt
Filed under: uncultured bacterium
Lineage: Bacteria
Description: bacterial SSU rRNA
Rfam family: Bacterial small subunit ribosomal RNA
Source: RNAcentral